RNAcentral lists this unclassified non-coding RNA (855 nucleotides) under Hevea brasiliensis (rubber tree). Lineage: Eukaryota; Viridiplantae; Streptophyta; Magnoliopsida; Malpighiales; Euphorbiaceae. The record is from RNAcentral.
UGAUAAUGCCAAGGUAAUUCUUCAUUUUACAGCUCAACUCUCUGCUAAUUGUGUCUAAUAAAUACUGGAAGGAGAACAUUUAAACUAAUACUGACUGUGUUACAAAAGGAUCUUAAAGUUUCAUACUUCAUGUUCAAACAACAAGUAUACAAUGCCUUCGAUUAAAUACAUAGGCAGGCGGUUACAAAGGCUCUUGUGACUAAAGCUGAUCAAGCAUAAGACAUCAUCUUGGACGUUUGGCGCCAAGGGGAAAGGAUACUCGUUGAGGAGUACCUUGAGGUAAGUCUGUCUUUUCAUGAGAAAGAGUUGGAUUUUUGCUUGGAGCUGGGUUGGGAUCAGCGCUUUCUUCGUCCUCCUCUGUUUCUUCUGGUUGGUUAGUUUGCUUCUUUGCAAUAGCUAGCUGAUAGUUAGGGUUGAUCAGUGUAUCUUGUUCAGGAGGGAGUGGUACUCCAGACCCAGCAAUUGAUUUCGGCAAUGGAAUCUUGUUUCUGUUCCUAGCCAACUCCAGUAGGACCUCACGCGGCGGGGGUUGUGAGAAGCUGAAAUUAACUUUUGACUGAAUGGCAAGCUUGAUGUCAUCAGAGUCAAUGGAAGCCUUCCCUGCAUGCUCUGAGUAGACUUGAGCAUCCGUCAGUACAUCAACAACAUAGCGAUACCACAAUUCCAAAAAUUGAUGCACAACUCGAGGCUCGUAGUCAUCAACACCCAUUGAUUUUAGCAGCGUUUUGACAAUCUUUGCAUCCCUUGGCAAGUCCUCUUCUCCACCUUCAGCCAUUUCUUUCAAGGUUCAACCGAAGAUUCACCACAAUUCGAGCAAUAGGCAAAGAUUAAACGAAGAACCAAAAAGCACUGAGA